RNAcentral lists this ribosomal RNA (490 nucleotides) under uncultured bacterium. RNAcentral describes it as "partial 16S ribosomal RNA". It matches the Rfam family "Bacterial small subunit ribosomal RNA", at positions 29 to 507 of the family's 1533-position model. The record is from RNAcentral.
AGUGAACGCUGGCGGUAGGCCUAACACAUGCAAGUCGAACGGCAGCACAGGAGAGCUUGCUCUCUGGGUGGCGAGUGGCGGACGGGUGAGGAAUACAUCGGAAUCUGCCCAGUCGUGGGGGAUAACGUAGGGAAACUUACGCUAAUACCGCAUACGACCUUCGGGUGAAAGAGGGGGAUCGCAAGACCUCUCGCGAUUGGAUGAGCCGAUGUCGGAUUAGCUAGUUGGCGGGGUAAUGGCCCACCAAGGCGACGAUCCGUAGCUGGUCUGAGAGGAUGAUCAGCCACACUGGAACUGAGACACGGUCCAGACUCCUACGGGAGGCAGCAGUGGGGAAUAUUGGACAAUGGGCACAAGCCUGAUCCAGCCAUACCGCGUGGGUGAAGAAGGCCUUCGGGUUGUGAAGCCCUUUUGUUGGGAAAGAAAUCUUUCAGGCUAAUACCCUGGGAGGAUGACGGUACCCAAAGAAUAAGCACCGGCUAACUUCGUG